RNAcentral lists this ribosomal RNA (492 nucleotides) under uncultured bacterium. RNAcentral describes it as "partial 16S ribosomal RNA". It matches the Rfam family "Bacterial small subunit ribosomal RNA", at positions 29 to 507 of the family's 1533-position model. The record is from RNAcentral.
AGUGAACGCUGGCGGUAGGCCUAACACAUGCAAGUCGAACGGCAGCACAGUAAGAGCUUGCUCUUACGGGUGGCGAGUGGCGGACGGGUGAGGAAUACAUCGGAAUCUACUUUUUCGUGGGGGAUAACGUAGGGAAACUUACGCUAAUACCGCAUACGACCUACGGGUGAAAGCAGGGGAUCUUCGGACCUUGCGCGAUUGAAUGAGCCGAUGUCGGAUUAGCUAGUUGGCGGAGUAAAGGCCCACCAAGGCGACGAUCCGUAGCUGGUCUGAGAGGAUUAUCAGCCACACUGGAACUGAGACACGGUCCAGACUCCUACGGGAGGCAGCAGUGGGGAAUAUUGGACAAUGGGCGCAAGCCUGAUCCAGCCAUACCGCGUGGGUGAAGAAGGCCUUCGGGUUGUAAAGCCCUUUUGUUGGGAAAGAAAAGCAGCAGGUUAAUACCCCGCUGUUCUGACGGUACCCAAAGAAUAAGCACCGGCUAACUUCGUG